This 253-nucleotide ribosomal RNA is filed under the name uncultured bacterium. RNAcentral describes it as "partial 16S ribosomal RNA". It matches the Rfam family "Bacterial small subunit ribosomal RNA", at positions 524 to 776 of the family's 1533-position model. The record is from RNAcentral.
UACGUAGGGUGCAAGCGUUAAUCGGAAUUACUGGGCGUAAAGCGUGCGCAGGCGGUGAUGUAAGUCAGGUGUGAAAGCCCCGGGCUCAACCUGGGAAUUGCAUUUGAGACUGCGUAGCUAGGGUGCGGAAGAGGGAAGCGGAAUUUCCGGUGUAGCGGUGAAAUGCGUAGAUAUCGGAAGGAACACCAGUGGCGAAAGCGGCUUCCUGGUCCAGCACCGACGUUCAGGCACGAAAGCGUGGGGAGCAAACAGG